Long non-coding RNA from Procambarus clarkii (red swamp crayfish), 936 nucleotides. RefSeq lists it as uncharacterized. The record is from RefSeq and is a predicted model, not a curated record. NCBI's taxonomy places the organism in Eukaryota, Metazoa, Arthropoda, Malacostraca, Decapoda, Cambaridae.
UCCAUUUUUUUGUUUUGUUUUAAUGGCGAAACGUCUUUCCCAGAAAGAUUCGUAGUAUAACAUUUCAUCUUGAUGCUGCAUUUCUCGUCUCCAAGUGUUUCUUGGAGACGAGAAUUCAGUGUUUUGUCUUUCUGGGAAGGAUUUUAUAUCAUUUUGCUGAUGACGGAAUUGCUGGAAUUAGCUGUUGUGUGGGAAUAGUCGUUCUUAUGUUGGUCUGAGACAAACUUGCAACUAGAAAGGCAAUGCAACUUUUUUCUUGGUCCUUCCCGCCCAUGUCAAGCCCCUAGGAGGGGGACCUCUAGGAGGGGGCCCUGUAGGAGGAGGGCCCCCUGGACUUGCUAUAUAUUCUCACUACAGUCCCCUCCUCGUCAGAAGCACUCCAGCAGGACUCUGGAAUCAUUGAAGGAACUGUUCUGGGUCUGAGCCUUCACCAUGAGACUUUUUACUUUUAGUGUGGCCUUACUGCUGGCUUUGGUUGUGUUGCUGAAGCCAGCUGCAGCCUUCCCCGAGCCGGAUGCUGACCCAGGUCCUCUGGCUGACCCCCACAGGUGGGGAGGUGGAUGGGGAGGUGGUGGUUGGGGAGGUGGAUGGGGAGGUGGUUGGGGUAGGGGUCGAUGGGGUGGUGGUGGGUGGGGAUGGGGGCGCUGAGCCCCAUUGCCCUCAACCCACACACCAUCAACUCACUGCAUAAGGAGAUCACCACUACCCCAGCAAGGUCCAAGGAUCAAGAGCCAGACGAUAUACAGCAACCCUUACUAGCACCUAUAUUCUGAUACUGCUAUUUUCUGACACCACUAUGUGUCGACACUACUAAGUGUCGACACAAGUGUAUUCUGUAUACAGUAACUACUAAGCUAUACUGACAUUGUGCUGCACUUUUGAUAACUCCCUUAUUAAAAAAUGUCGUUGGACUAAAAAAAAUAAAAUAAUUGUGAA